GUUCCUACGGGACGCAGCAGUGGGGGAUAUUGCACAAUGGGGGAAACCCUGAUGCAGCGACGCCGCGUGUGGGAAGACGGUCUUCUGGAUUGUAAACCACUGUCCCCAGGGACGAAAAUGACGGUACCUGGGGAGGAAGCUCCGGCUAACUACGUGCCGGCAGCCGCGGUAAUACGUAGGGAGCAAGCGUCGUCCGGAAUUACUGGGUGUAAAGGGAGCGUAGGCGGGGAUGCAAGUUGGGUGUCAAAACUACCGGCUCAACCGAUAGUCGCCGCCAAAACUGCA
Molecule: ribosomal RNA, 285 nt
Filed under: uncultured bacterium
Lineage: Bacteria
Description: partial 16S ribosomal RNA
Rfam family: Bacterial small subunit ribosomal RNA
Source: RNAcentral